This 279-nucleotide ribosomal RNA is filed under the name uncultured bacterium. RNAcentral's name for it is "partial 16S ribosomal RNA". It matches the Rfam family "Bacterial small subunit ribosomal RNA", at positions 506 to 784 of the family's 1533-position model. The record is from RNAcentral.
UGCCAGCAGCCGCGGUAAUACGGAGGGUGCAAGCGUUAAUCGGAAUUACUGGGCGUAAAGCGCGCGUAGGCGGUUAUGUAAGUUGGAGGUGAAAGCCCCGGGCUCAACCUGGGAACUGCUUUCAAAACUGCAUAACUUGAGUACAGCAGAGGAUAGUGGAAUUUCUAGUGUAGCGGUGAAAUGCGUAGAUAUUAGAAGGAACACCAGUGGCGAAGGCGGCCACCUGGACGAUGACUGACGCUGAGACCCGAAAGCGUGGGGAGCAAACAGGAUUAGAUA